AUGCCAGCCUCAGUAUCCCUCAGGUCCUACUCCCCAAGAGGCCAUCCCCAGGGAGCUCAUGCUGAUGGGGCCGUGAGCACGCCCUUAGCUGGCUUUUACAAGCGAAACGCCCGGAUCCAGCUCAUGGCUCCGGGCGUUUCAGU
Molecule: small RNA, 143 nt
Filed under: Stenotrophomonas terrae
Lineage: Bacteria; Pseudomonadati; Pseudomonadota; Gammaproteobacteria; Lysobacterales; Lysobacteraceae
Description: Proteobacterial sRNA sX11
Rfam family: Proteobacterial sRNA sX11
Source: Rfam by way of RNAcentral